Molecule: transfer RNA, 52 nt
Filed under: Monosporozyma servazzii
Lineage: Eukaryota; Fungi; Ascomycota; Saccharomycetes; Saccharomycetales; Saccharomycetaceae
Description: Kazachstania servazzii partial transfer RNA
Source: RNAcentral
CUCKAACCCCUAACCUUAUGAUUAAGAGUCAUACGCGCUACCGAUUGCGCCA